AUUUGAGGCAGAUCAAUAUUUAAUACUGAACACUAACUUAUGUUCUUAUUUGUUUAGAAUCUCUGCUUUCAAGAGGAGAGUUGGCCCUGAGAUCCAUUUCAAAGAGACUGAGAAGUUUCAAGAUCUGAAGUCAAGAAGCUGGAGAUCCAGGAGAGCUGAUUUCAGUCCAGUAGUUCCAGUCCAAGUCUGAAAGCCUAUGAGAAGAUCUGAUGGUGUAAGUUCCAGUUCAAAAGUUGUCAGACUGGGAAGCCAAGAAGAGCCAAUUUUUCAUUUCAAGGGUUCAAGUGAUCCUUCCACCUCACCCUCCUGAAUGGCUGUGAGUACAGGCACUCACCACCACUUCUGGCUUUAUUUUUAUUUUUGGUAACAACGGGGUUUCACCAUGUUGCCCAGGCUGGUCUCAAAUUCCUGAGCUCAAGCAAUCUGCCCACCUUGGCCUCCCAAAAUGCUGGGAUUACAGGUGAGCCAUCGCUCCUAGCCUUCUUUGAUUCUUUUAAGAAAAUGAGUUUAGCAAUUAGAAUUGUUAUGAAUAGACUAAUUCGUUACUGGAAAUGCUGUUACUGGAAUUGGAAGUUGUAG
Molecule: long non-coding RNA, 579 nt
Filed under: Homo sapiens (human)
Lineage: Eukaryota; Metazoa; Chordata; Mammalia; Primates; Hominidae
Description: HSALNT0194045
Source: RNAcentral